Ictalurus punctatus (channel catfish) is the source of this 2601-nucleotide long non-coding RNA. NCBI's taxonomy places the organism in Eukaryota, Metazoa, Chordata, Actinopteri, Siluriformes, Ictaluridae. The record is from Ensembl.
CAGUAUGCCCAGCAGUGGCAACAGUACUACCAGAACCAGAGCCAGUGGAACCAGUACUACAGCCAGUAUGGCAACUACUCUGGGCAACAGGGCAACAGCCAGGGCCAGUGAAGUGUGUGUGUGUGUGUGUGUGUGUGUGUGUGUGUGUGUGUGUGUGUGUGUGUGUGUGUGUGUGUGAAUGUGAGAGAUCCAGCGACAUUCUUAUAAUUCAUGUAAUCAUUCUUGAACCUGCAUGCAUCAGCACUCAUCCUAUUUUAUCAUGACCUUAUCCCUUUAUAUCCAGUCUUCUCCAGCCAUUCUAGUCAUCCUAGCAGGGUGUAUGCUGCAUUUUGGAUUCGUUUGAGAAAUGCUGAUGAUCUGGUCCAGGCAGAAAACCUUUUAUAUUGUAAUUUAGCUUAUAAGCGACUUAUAAGUGAAGCAGAAUCCAAUGUAAAAGUACAGCUGGGCAGGUGAGGGUUAAGGGUUUUGGGUGGCUCUUUGGCAGUCCUGAAAUCUUAACCUUACAGUAAAUUAGGGGUAGUGCUGCACAUAUGGACAAGCAGCAUAUUAUAGUUACAGAUUGCAAUCACAGUAUACUUAGUAGUCUAAAACAUAUUUGAGGAUAUGUCAAGGUUAAAGCUGGACCUGCAUUGAUUUAACACCCCCCCCCCACCCCCCGUCAAUCACCCUAGAAUAUUAUCCAGACCCUCUUUAAUUUUGUGCAGUGCUCACAGAACUAAAAAAAACAUAAUAAUAAUUAUGUUUGUGUUUGUGUCCUCUUUAGCAUUAUUAUUGUGAUAACGAUUAGUAAAUGAUCUAUUGUGCAGCUGUAAGUCUCAGUCCACUGAGCGACCACUGCCCUUCAAGAAAGAAGAGUUUUUGUGUAAUUAGUUUGAAUUGUACAUUAUGAAUAUAAGAUAUAAGAUCUUUUCAUUUCUAUUUAGCUAAUUCCAUCACCACUUUGCAUCAUGCAUUGCUUGUGUCUGUUAAUAUAAAACAAUUACGGUUUAAUGUUAAAGGAAAAAUCCACCCUGAACUACUCGGCAUAUUAAUCUUUAUAGUUAAACGAUUUCAACUGGUCCAUUUUCACUUGGGUUACUGUUUUCCUACGUUAUCCACAAUGCCCUUCGACGACCUGCUGAUAGUGGUGCCAGUCUGCUCAAACUCUGUUCAAUGGUCCUGUAGGUUCAUUCUGUACAACAUCAAGAAAAUCAGACCCUAUCUCACUGAACAGGCUACACAGCUACUAGUCCAGGCCCUUGUCAUACCAAAACUGGACUACUGCAACGCACAACUCUCGGGCCUCCCAGCCAGCUCCAUCAAACCCUUUCAAAUCAUUCAGAAUGCAGCAGCAUGUCUCGUCUUCAACCAGCCCAAAUGACCCAUGUCACACUCCUCUUCAUCUCCCUCCGCUGGCUUCCUGUAGCCGCCCGUAUCAAAUUCAAGGCCUUGAUGCUCACGUACAAGACCUUGUCUGGAACAGCACCCCCGUACCUCAACACUCUCCUUGAGGCUUACGUUCCCCUCACGCAUUCUGCGAUUGAUUAACAAUUAUCCGACGCUUAGUAGUGCUUACUCAGCGUGGCUCAAAGUUCCUUUACAGAACCUUCACUCUAACCGUCCCUCAGUGGUGGAACAGCUAAAGACCCACCUCUUCCGUGAGCACGUAACUAACCUCUAAAACGCCAACCCCACAUUAUCCUUUAAAAAAAAAAAAACUUACUCUGCGCACUUUGCUGCUCUAGAACUCAAUUAAAAAAUCGUGUAUGGUAGCACUACUUGUAUUGUUCUCCACUUGAUUUUCCAUUCGCUUUGCUUGUAUUUCCUCAUUUGUAAGUCGCUUUGGAUAGAAGUGUCUGCUAAAUGAAUAAUGUAAACAUUAAUGCUAAUACAUCCUCGAACACCGUCAGCUUUGUUAUCUCGUAGCUCACGAAACUACCCAAGCGAAGAGCAAGUGUGUUGUUGCCUACUCCUGUAUUGGCUUUCUCGUUAAUAUGAUGUUGCUUGGAAAUGGUGAGCAGUGGAUGUAUACAGUGAAACGAAGCUCUUUCUCUUUUUUGUUUUUAGGAACUAACCGCGAAAUAUGAGCGUUCUCACUUACAUUUGAGAUCGCUGAAAUUUGUUCUCCUAUUAAGCACCACUGUAACUGCACUUGCAGUGUCCACCUGUGACAUCAGCAUGGCUCACAAGCCGCUGUCUCUCACAAGUAGACCCUAGGAACCAACAAAUUAGCACGAGAAUCACAAAUCCGUUCAUGUAAGCAUUUAAAUAUCUAUUUAAUAUGUUUCAGGGUGGAGGUUUCCUUUAGGGAAAGUGGAAUGUUAAUUUAGCACAGGUACAUACAUUGUAAAUGAUUACGGUUCAUAAAUGGCAUAGCCGAAAACAUGUGGUCUGUGACGUGAUUUCAUUUUUUUUUUUUUUUUGAACCGUCUGUCAGGUCUUGUCUAAAAUGGAAAGCAUUGUUUUGUUUUGUUUUUAUUGUAAAAUUGACUUUUGACAUUUCACUUCAGUAAUUGGAAAGAUUUUAGCAACGUUGAUAAUGCUGAUCCUGAGCAAUUUUUCACAGGGUCUUAUCGUGCGGUUUUGUUUUUCAUGUUUUGAAAAUAAAUUCACAACGCAAAA